Molecule: ribosomal RNA, 312 nt
Filed under: Tigrosa georgicola
Lineage: Eukaryota; Metazoa; Arthropoda; Arachnida; Araneae; Lycosidae
Description: partial 12S ribosomal RNA
Source: RNAcentral
UUUAAAAUGGUGGCAUUCCAUCUUAUUAGAGGAACCUGUAGCUUAAUCGACAACCCACGAUAAUUUUUACUCUAAUUAAAAAUUUAUAUACCGCCAUCUUAAAUUAAUUCAAUAAUAAUAUUUACACACUUUUAAAAAACUUGCUAGGUCAAGGUGUAGUUUAUAUUUAAGGCUACUAUGGGUUACCUUUUAAAAAAUUUAAGGAUUUUAAUAUAAAAAUAUUUUUUGAAAAAGGAUUUAAAAGUAAUAACAAAAUAAUAUUUUGUUAUGAUUAAGAUAAUAAAUGUGCACACAUCGCCCGUCGCUCUUAAA